UUCCAGACUCCUACGGGAGGCAGCAGUGAGGAAUAUUGGUCAAUGGGCGGGAGCCUGAACCAGCCAAGUCGCGUGAGGGAAGACGGUCCUAUGGAUUGUAAACCUCUUUAGGCGGGGAGCAAUGCCGGGCACGCGUGCCCGGAGGGAGAGUACCCGCAGAAUAAGCAUCGGCUAACUCCGUGCCAGCAGCCGCGGUAAUACGGAGGAUGCGAGCGUUAUCCGGAUUUAUUGGGUUUAAAGGGUGCGUAGGCGGAUUUUUAAGUCAGCGGUAAAAUGUCCGGGCUCAACCCGGGCCGGCCGUUGAAACUGGGGAUCUUGAGUGGGCGAGAAGUAUGCGGAAUGCGUGGUGUAGCGGUGAAAUGCAUAGAUAUCACGAAGAACUCCGAUUGCGAAGGCAGCCUACUAAACUGCCACUGACAUUGAUGCUCGAAAGUGUGGGUAUCAAACAGGAUUAGAUACCCCUGUAC
Molecule: ribosomal RNA, 467 nt
Filed under: uncultured bacterium
Lineage: Bacteria
Description: bacterial SSU rRNA
Rfam family: Bacterial small subunit ribosomal RNA
Source: RNAcentral